Molecule: long non-coding RNA, 2947 nt
Organism: Homo sapiens (human)
Lineage: Eukaryota; Metazoa; Chordata; Mammalia; Primates; Hominidae
Gene: INTS6-AS1
Product: INTS6 antisense RNA 1
Source: Ensembl
GCCCGCGGGCCGCCGGGCCGGGGUCGCCGCCCGGGCUCGGUCAGUCGGUACCUUCAUGAAGGUCUCUACCGCGCCUUUGGCCGUGUCCAGGAAAGGCCUUGUGAGGACAUAACCAGGAAGAGAGUCCUCACCAGAACCUGACCAUACCUGCACCCUGAUCUCAAGCUUCCAGCUUCCAGAACCAUGAGAAAUCAAUGUUUGUUGUUUUAGCCACCCAGUCUACAGAAAUUUGUUAUAGCCACCCUAGCUGACUACCACAUUGGACAUCACAGCAAACACUACAACCACAAGUCCAGUUGGCUCCACAAGCUUGAGCUCACCAUUUCUCACCAGCUCCACCGCUACCUCCAAAUAAAAGAAAUGGCUGAAAUCCUUUGGAACCAAUAUGACCAACUGGAGUCGGUGCAGAAGGAGCUUGCUGACAACGCAGCCUGAAUUUCCACCCUAUGUUUCAUACCAACUCCCCCUGAAUUUGCACAUGUGAUACAUGAGAUAGCAUGAAGAGAUAACUGAGCAUGCCCAAGGACUUUCCAGACUUCUGCUUUCCUUCCACCAAUCACCUGCUAAUCUCAGAAUCCACCCCCUGAAACUUUUCUAAUAAAAAUACUGUUUUGAAGGCAGCACAGGGAGACAGAUUUGAGCUUGACUUCUGUCUCCUUGGGAUUGACUUUCAGUACAAAGCUUUUCUUUUCUCAAGAACAUGGUGUCAUAGUAUGGGCUUCUAGUGCAUUGGACAGUGAGCCCCUUUUACUCGAUAACAAUAUCAGCUAUAUUUUUCUCCCUCUUUCACUGUGGACUAAGCAUUCAGCUUCCUCUUAUUAAUCCCAUAAAAUCCUAUACCAUUUGCGAGAUUUGCUUUAUGCAUAUUAGCAAUACAGUACAAAUAUAGUGUGUUUGAUUUGCACUGUAGUUGUAUUGUAUUGCCACUCUGUAUAAAAAUCCAAUCAUCAGCUAGAUACCUACCUAACAAAAAAGUUGCUCCUAGAAGGAAGGAAGCAAAGCUAAUGUUUAGUGGAUAUGACUGAGUGGCUUUUAUAAGCAGUCAUUUGAUAAAUAAACGUUUCUAGGUUAUGAUGACUUUUAGUCUCCUAUACUGCUUCAGACUUCAGGGACUCAGAUAAUGAAUGCUGAGAUAAUGUGGAUGUUUUAUCAUUCUGUAGCAUGGUGAUCAGGGAUUCCAGAAACAUAAAGGUAAAGUUCUAACCUUAUAAAGAAACGACAUGGUCAGUGAAAGAGCACUGGGCUGGAAAUUACAAGUCCCAGGUCCCAAUGCAGAAUCUGCCACUAAGUAAGCUGUGAGGGCUUAGGCAAGCCAUUUCACUUUUCUCUGGCUCAUUUUAUUUGCAUGAAAAGAAAGAAAAAGGAAUUCAUUGUGAUUCUGAACCUUUUCACUCCCCAAGGAUCCCCUUUAUUCCUCCCCCCAUUUUCAUAUGUUGAGAAAUUGUGUCUACUAAAAUAUAUUCAUUAGUAGUUUGUUCAUGUUCUCAUGUUCAUUGUUUAUUAUUAAUAUAGUCAUGUUCAUUGUUAAUUUAUCAAAAAUAUAUAUAUAUAAUUUCCAAUUCAGCUUAGCAUUACAAAAUUGAUUGACAUUGAUUGAGUUGAUGUAAUACCCUCCAAAGCAAAGAAACCAGAUUAAUUUGUCUGGGUGGUUAAUCUUAAUUCCUAAGAGUUAAGAGGCUGCAGGUUGGGACUGUCUGCAUCCAGUUGACUAUAAGUUUUUUGUUUUGUUUUGUUUUUACAAGUCUGAGAGUCAAUGCUAUUUAUAUUUGUAUUUCUAUUCAGUCCAGUGCUUGGACAAAUGGUACCUCAGAGGGUCCUGUGGGUUCAGCAAAGCAGCUCAGGAGCAGAAAUGGGGGUGGGAAAAGAGGAGUCUUAGGGCCCCAAAACCUAUUUCAUCUACAGCAGCCUCACUUUUUUCUGCUUUAAAUGCUAGAUUCUGCUUAAGAUUUUCUUUUUCUUUUCCUUUUUUUUUGAGACAGAGUCUUGCUCAAUUGCCUAGGCUGGAGUGCAGUGAUGCUAUCUUGGCUCACUACAACUUCCCCUUCUUGGGUUCAAGUGAUUCUCCUGCCUCAGUCUCCCGAUUAGCUGGGAUUACAGAUGUGUGCCACCACCCCCAGCUGAUUUUUGUAUUUUUAAUAGAGACAGGUUUUCACAAUGUUAGCCAGGCUGAUCUCGAACUCCUGGCCUCAAGUGAUGUGCCUGCCUCAGCCUCCCAGAGUGCUGGGAUUACAGGCGUGAGCCACCACACCUGGCCUUAAGAUUUGCUUUGAAGAAAGCGUUUAAACCAUAAAAAUAAUUUGAAAAAUAUGACUUAAUCAAACUCAAUUAUAUAGAUGAGAAUAAUGAGGCAUAGAAAAAUUAAAUGAAACUGGCCCAAGGUUAUAGAGCUAAUUAAUGGCAAAAUACUCAUUCAGUCAAUCAACAAAUAUUUAUUGAACACUGUAGAAAUAAAAAUUGUAAAGCUAAAGCUUUGAUUUGUUCUUAGUUUAAAAACAAUCUGUGAGUCACUGUAUUGGAUUAGAAGCAUUAGGAUGAAAGAAUCUUGUUUUCAUAAAUUGGUGGAGAACUGACAUUAUCGUGUAUGUUACUAUUGUUCAAUAAGACAAGGAAGAGAGGGCAGGGGCAUAUUAGCAUUCAGGUGACCACAGGAGGUUGGGGACAGGUCAGGUUUGGUAAAGGGCUUGUUUCAAUUUAAAUCUAUGGUGGCUCAGGCUCUGAUUGUCAUACUAGUGCUCUCAUUAAUGUGCACAGGGAAGGAGCCAAGAACCCCACUUGACCCAAGAUUAACAUUAAGGUUUUGUUUCAUUUCCCAGAUUAAAUAUGUGAUUAGCACCAAACCUGGAAAAACCCGUGGCUAUAGGAUAUGUGUAAUUUAAUCUAUAAAAUGUAUUUGUAAAAGCCAAUUCAUUGUACAUGUUCAACUUAAUAAGUUCACUGGCAUUAUGAU